GGUUAAGCGACUAAGCGUACACGGUGGAUGCCCUGGCAGUCAGAGGCGAUGAAGGACGUGCUAAUCUGCGAUAAGCGUCGGUAAGGUGAUAUGAACCGUUAUAACCGGCGAUUUCCGAAUGGGGAAACCCAGUGUGUUUCGACACACUAUCAUUAACUGAAUCCAUAGGUUAAUGAGGCGAACCGGGGGAACUGAAACAUCUAAGUACCCCGAGGAAAAGAAAUCAACCGAGAUUCCCCCAGUAGCGGCGAGCGAACGGGGAGCAGCCCAGAGCCUGAAUCAGUGUGUGUGUUAGUGGAAGCGUCUGGAAAGGCGCGCGAUACAGGGUGACAGCCCCGUACACAAAAAUGCACAUACUGUGAGCUCGAUGAGUAGGGCGGGACACGUGGUAUCCUGUCUGAAUAUGGGGGGACCAUCCUCCAAGGCUAAAUACUCCUGACUGACCGAUAGUGAACCAGUACCGUGAGGGAAAGGCGAAAAGAACCCCGGCGAGGGGAGUGAAAAAGAACCUGAAACCGUGUACGUACAAGCAGUGGGAGCACGCUUCGGCGUGUGACUGCGUACCUUUUGUAUAAUGGGUCAGCGACUUAUAUUCUGUAGCAAGGUUAACCGAAUAGGGGAGCCGAAGGGAAACCGAGUCUUAACUGGGCGUUAAGUUGCAGGGUAUAGACCCGAAACCCGGUGAUCUAGCCAUGGGCAGGUUGAAGGUUGGGUAACACUAACUGGAGGACCGAACCGACUAAUGUUGAAAAAUUAGCGGAUGACUUGUGGCUGGGGGUGAAAGGCCAAUCAAACCGGGAGAUAGCUGGUUCUCCCCGAAAGCUAUUUAGGUAGCGCCUCGUGAAUUCAUCUCCGGGGGUAGAGCACUGUUUCGGCAAGGGGGUCAUCCCGACUUACCAACCCGAUGCAAACUGCGAAUACCGGAGAAUGUUAUCACGGGAGACACACGGCGGGUGCUAACGUCCGUCGUGAAGAGGGAAACAACCCAGACCGCCAGCUAAGGUCCCAAAGUCAUGGUUAAGUGGGAAACGAUGUGGGAAGGCCCAGACAGCCAGGAUGUUGGCUUAGAAGCAGCCAUCAUUUAAAGAAAGCGUAAUAGCUCACUGGUCGAGUCGGCCUGCGCGGAAGAUGUAACGGGGCUAAACCAUGCACCGAAGCUGCGGCAGCGACACUAUGUGUUGUUGGGUAGGGGAGCGUUCUGUAAGCCUGUGAAGGUGUGCUGUGAGGCAUGCUGGAGGUAUCAGAAGUGCGAAUGCUGACAUAAGUAACGAUAAAGCGGGUGAAAAGCCCGCUCGCCGGAAGACCAAGGGUUCCUGUCCAACGUUAAUCGGGGCAGGGUGAGUCGACCCCUAAGGCGAGGCCGAAAGGCGUAGUCGAUGGGAAACAGGUUAAUAUUCCUGUACUUGGUGUUACUGCGAAGGGGGACGGAGAAGGCUAUGUUGGCCGGGCGACGGUUGUCCCGGUUUAAGCGUGUAGGCUGGUUUUCCAGGCAAAUCCGGAAAAUCAAGGCUGAGGCGUGAUGACGAGGCACUACGGUGCUGAAGCAACAAAUGCCCUGCUUCCAGGAAAAGCCUCUAAGCAUCAGGUAACAUUAAAUCGUACCCCAAACCGACACAGGUGGUCAGGUAGAGAAUACCAAGGCGCUUGAGAGAACUCGGGUGAAGGAACUAGGCAAAAUGGUGCCGUAACUUCGGGAGAAGGCACGCUGAUAUGUAGGUGAAGUCCCUCGCGGAUGGAGCUGAAAUCAGUCGAAGAUACCAGCUGGCUGCAACUGUUUAUUAAAAACACAGCACUGUGCAAACACGAAAGUGGACGUAUACGGUGUGACGCCUGCCCGGUGCCGGAAGGUUAAUUGAUGGGGUUAGCGGUAACGCGAAGCUCUUGAUCGAAGCCCCGGUAAACGGCGGCCGUAACUAUAACGGUCCUAAGGUAGCGAAAUUCCUUGUCGGGUAAGUUCCGACCUGCACGAAUGGCGUAAUGAUGGCCAGGCUGUCUCCACCCGAGACUCAGUGAAAUUGAACUCGCUGUGAAGAUGCAGUGUACCCGCGGCAAGACGGAAAGACCCCGUGAACCUUUACUAUAGCUUGACACUGAACAUUGAGCCUUGAUGUGUAGGAUAGGUGGGAGGCUUUGAAGUGUGGACGCCAGUCUGCAUGGAGCCGACCUUGAAAUACCACCCUUUAAUGUUUGAUGUUCUAACGUUGACCCGUAAUCCGGGUUGCGGACAGUGUCUGGUGGGUAGUUUGACUGGGGCGGUCUCCUCCUAAAGAGUAACGGAGGAGCACGAAGGUUGGCUAAUCCUGGUCGGACAUCAGGAGGUUAGUGCAAUGGCAUAAGCCAGCUUGACUGCGAGCGUGACGGCGCGAGCAGGUGCGAAAGCAGGUCAUAGUGAUCCGGUGGUUCUGAAUGGAAGGGCCAUCGCUCAACGGAUAAAAGGUACUCCGGGGAUAACAGGCUGAUACCGCCCAAGAGUUCAUAUCGACGGCGGUGUUUGGCACCUCGAUGUCGGCUCAUCACAUCCUGGGGCUGAAGUAGGUCCCAAGGGUAUGGCUGUUCGCCAUUUAAAGUGGUACGCGAGCUGGGUUUAGAACGUCGUGAGACAGUUCGGUCCCUAUCUGCCGUGGGCGCUGGAGAACUGAGGGGGGCUGCUCCUAGUACGAGAGGACCGGAGUGGACGCAUCACUGGUGUUCGGGUUGUCAUGCCAAUGGCACUGCCCGGUAGCUAAAUGCGGAAGAGAUAAGUGCUGAAAGCAUCUAAGCACGAAACUUGCCCCGAGAUGAGUUCUCCCUGACUCCUUGAGAGUCCUGAAGGAACGUUGAAGACGACGACGUUGAUAGGCCGGGUGUGUAAGCGCAGCGAUGCGUUGAGCUAACCGGUACUAAUGAACCGUGAGGCUUAACCUU
RNAcentral lists this ribosomal RNA (2904 nucleotides) under Escherichia coli O145:H28. RNAcentral describes it as "23S ribosomal RNA". It matches the Rfam family "Bacterial large subunit ribosomal RNA". The record is from RNAcentral. Lineage: Bacteria; Pseudomonadati; Pseudomonadota; Gammaproteobacteria; Enterobacterales; Enterobacteriaceae.